This is a long non-coding RNA of Manis javanica (Malayan pangolin), 4610 nucleotides long. RefSeq lists it as uncharacterized. Lineage: Eukaryota; Metazoa; Chordata; Mammalia; Pholidota; Manidae. The record is from RefSeq and is a predicted model, not a curated record.
GCAGCCAGGGGAGAGGGGAAGGUACAGGGUACAGACUGGCCAGAGGUGGAGGGUUCCUGCCUCCUCCUAUGAGGGAUCAGUUCAACCUGGGGUUCCCCUGAGAUUCACUCCUCACCCCUAAUGGGCCCUUGAGAUGCCACCAGGAAGUGUGGGAGCUCAGUGACCAGGCAGCCACCUGGAUCACAGCCUACUAUGGGGCUUCUAACCCCAACCCUUGGCCUAUGGCCAGGCAAGACCCCGUAGUCCCUGAUCCCCAGUCCCCAAGCCAGGUGAGGAGACACCCAGGCUUAGGGCUGAGGGUGGAACAGCCACCGUGUGGAGGGCUUUCUUGGCAGAGAAUGUGGCAGGAAGGUGGGGAAUGAGGGGCAGUUCAGGUGUCCCCAGCCCUGAGGUCACCACUGGGCCCUAUCUCCUGAUUCUGAUCAGACAGCCCCGUCUGCCACUGCCCCUUGCACACCCACGCUACGAGCUGUGCCCAGCUGUUGCACAAGGGGAGGUGGGUAUACAGGUUUGGGGGUGCAGGUUGGGCUAGAGGCUCUGGUGGCAGAGAUGGGGAGAGUGAAACAGGCUGGCUGGGCAGAGUGGACAGUGAAGAUGCAGGAAGGGGACGGGAGGAAGGACAAUGACCGAGGAGCUGUGCGACCAGAGACCCUGAGGUCGGGGCUGGGAGAAGGGGGAGCUCUGGGGACAUCCCAGUGAGGAGCUGAGGAAGAAUGACAGCCCCUUACACAAGCCUAGCUGUGCCUCGACUUCCCUGUUGGAGAGUGGGAGCUCACCUUGCUGACCUCCCGGGCUGUUAAGGUAGCCUAAUGAGCUAAUAGUGGGGGAAGGACAGGCAGGCCCCCCCUGACUGCCCCUGGUGGGCAACCUGUGUGCCCGCUUGGGGUCAGUCUGGGGACCCCAGAGAGAGGCUGGGCCCAGGAUGCAAGGGGAGCAGGAAGGGCUGCCCUGCGCCCCUCUUCUGCUGAGCCUCCCUGACCUUUCUCCAUGGCAGCCAGGGCAGAGGUGUAUGGGGGUCUCUCCACAUACUCUUCUCCCACUCCUGGUCUCGUGGGUGGGAAUGGGAAUCCUUGAGGACUCACUGCCCACCUCCCCAGCUCAUCACCCAGGGACCACGGACUGAGUAAGUACCCCAGCUCAAGGCACUACUAGCCCCAGGGCCUCAGGAAGUCCCACUAAUACAAGAGGCUGAGGGUGACCCCCCACCAGGUCUCUGAUAGAAACACAAGGGGCGGAAAGGGGCAAGGGGCAAGGAGAGUGCAGGGCUGGAGGGGCUGUGAGCCUCUCCAGGCUGAGGUUCUCGGGCCCCUGCCCUGGGCACCUGGGUGUGAGGUCAGCCCCACAGCAGGGGGUGGCAUUGUGGGCGCAGGACACAUAAUUUCACUUCUCAGCCUCAGUUUCCCCACUUGUAAAGGGGAGAUCUCUGCCUCCUCCACCAACAAGUGAAUGAGCUUGGCCUUCUGAAGGGAAGGGUGGAACAUGGUGCCCAGGGUCCUGCCUGGGGGGACACGAAAACCCCAGGGCAGCCUGUCAGGCAUGGGGAUAAAUAUUUGUUGAGUGGAUAAGACGAUGAGAGAUGAUGAGGCAACCAGAUGUGAGUGAGCCCGGCUCCCGUGGCCACAGCUCCACUCAGACCCGUUUUCCACCUUAUUACCCUCCUUGCAAUGCACAGAGCUCUGGUGGGGGUGAGGGCGACUGCCAGCACCAGGACCCCACUCCUCCCACACAGUGUCAGCCCAGGAGGGCUCCCUGAGGGCUGGGGGCCGGAAAUCCAGGUGGCCUCACCCCAGCGCCCGGCUCACCCCCUCUCCCCUUUCCCAGCCCUGCCCCUCCCCAUGGAUUUACCCGCCCACCCCCACCCCAGGCCUGGCAGAACACAGCACUCCCGAGGGCUCGCGGCCCAGCCACAACCCACCGAUUUCCAGUGGGGAUGGCGGAGAGACCCAGACCUGGGGCGGGGGAAGGGGCCUCCGGGGUGGAUGCCCCCCGGCGAGGAAAGGCAGCGCGGUCAUCCCCAGCUGGCCCUGUGACCCGGAUGGGUGGCCUGAGGACUCCCAGCGCCCGGGGUAGGAGGUGUGUGUGGGUGUUUGUGAAACUAGAGCAAGAAGGGAGGUCACGGCCCCAGGGCCGGGCACGCAGGCUAUUGACAAGGCCUGAUUCCUGCGUCUCCCCCACCCCCGCGGGGCUGGACGGGCCUGGAGGCGGGCCAGGUGCAGCUCCCCCCGCAGCCUUCAGCCCCCAGCACAGAAGGAUGCGGGCGCCCCGAUGGAAGAGGCCUCUGACAACCAUAAUGAGAAAUGAAGUGAAGGGCCAGGGACCCCCAGACGGAUUUGAGAGACCACGAGCCGAUGGCAGAGAGGCACUCUGGAGGAGGCAGAAGGGGCACCUUGGCUCUGUGUGGUAGGGCAGGCGCAUCGUCCUCCAGGUCUCACUUGCCUGUGGAAUUGUCGCGGCUCUGGAGGGGGAUUCGCCCCACGCUGUGCGUGAAGAACACACCACUGAAUCCGAAGGCUGCAGAAACCAGAAUGUGAGAUGAAUGCCUGCUGUGCACUGGGUGCUGGGUGCAGAGGGCCGCUGGCGUCCUAGCGGAGAGAUGUGGACCGUGGCAGCCCGGGGGAUGCGGCAAUGCCAGGCUCUGGUGUGUCCCACGAAGAACAAUAAAGCAGGGUAACGAGCCAGAGUGAAGAAGGUGGCUAUUUCAGAUGGACCCAGUUGCUCUAACGCCACUUACUGGAAAGAUGACCCUUCACUGAAUGACUUUGGCCCUUUGUGGAAAAGCAGUUGGCCAUCCAUGCUGUGCGCCUGUGUCUGGGGUCCGUCCUGUCCCACCGAUGGGUGUGUCCCUGUCUGUGCCAGUGUCUGUUGCUAUCGUGAAUUACCCUGAUUUUUGACUGUCCUACCAGCCUUGCAUUCCUGGGAUAAAUUUCACCUGGUCAUGAAUAAUAAAAUCCCCUGGUUUUGGCACCAGGGUGAUGCUGGGCUCACAGAAUCAGCGGGAAGGCGUUCCCUCCUCUCCUCUUUCCUGGAAGUUAGUGGAGAAGUGAUGGUAUCACUUCCUUAGAUGUUGGUGAAUUCGCCGGGGAAGCCACCUGGGCCCGGGGCUGCCUUUCUGUGAAAAGGCUUUAACCGCAAAUUCCGUGUCUGUAAUGGUAGCGCCAUUUUCCUUGAUAUUACCACAUUUACUUAAAACUUUUGUGCCGCUAUUUAGUACCACUAGCUGGAACUAAGAGUUUCUCAAAUUGCCACAUAUCUCCACUGACACGGGGUUCUGUUUUGCUUUUAAAUGGCAUAGUAUUUUCUUUAAGGUGCCAGGUCACUGGUGGCAGGCAUGUCUGAGGGACUGGAUGAAGGUGGGCGAGGGCUCUGUUCUGUCCCGGCCGUGUGCGGGACUUGGCCUCUGACUCGGCCUGCAGGGCAGCCGACAUGUCCUUUUACCCAGCUGCAAACUUUCCCGGCCCGUCUGCUGCUGCCAGAGGCAGAGAUUUAAAACACCUUGGGGCUGGGGGGCCCUCCUGGCAGGCUCUCGGCUGUGCCAGGGUGCAGCCAGGGCCUCCUGGAGCUGGUUCCUGGUGCCCUGCCCUCGCCUGCGGCCUGGGCCCAGCAGCCAUGGGCCGGGGAGCCCGCUCCCCUCUUGCUCCUGGCCUUGCUCUGAAUCCAAGAUCGGGGCUGCGCUGUCCGAGGACUUGCUCAUCCCGGCAGAGGACGUGUGUGCCCACAGAAGGCGUGCGCGUCUGUGUGCACGCACAGAAGCCCUCCCUGAGUCCCUGGGAGACCCUCAGGAGCACUGGGGCAGCAAGGUCUCCAAAGCGCCGUGGCCAGGGGCUGCUGUACAGUGUGGGAAGGCCCUGGGUGGCCCUGCCUGAGCCAGGCCUAGGGGGGCUUUAUCUGGCUGCUGCCUGUCCACAUAGACCCAGCGUGAGCCUCAGAUCCAGCUGCAAACGGGCCUGUGCAAAGGCACAUCAGGUGGCACCCAGUGUGGCUGGAUCAAAUCAGGCCACCGAGAGAUGGCAGUGGUGGGAAGGGGCCCUGGGGCCACCAGCUCUGGAUGGAGUCAGGCUCAGGUUAGGGACAAGGCAGGAGGGCUGGGGGACAGGUGGGCAGAGGCAUGAGCAGGGCAGGCAGCCCCUGACCCAGGAGCUCAGGAUGGGUAUCGGCUAAGAAGGGGGCCAGUGAGGGCAUAGCAGCAGCCAAAAGGGCCAGGCAGGGGUGCUGGGGCUGAUAAGAGGCUGGAAAGGACAGGUAGGAGUCCCACAGGGCCCAGGGCCAGGGCGAGGCCCAGGGAAUCUGUGGAAGGCCAUUAAGCCCGGAAUGUGCCUGGAGCCACCGACGCAAGGGCCGCUUGCCUCUUCCUGGCUCCGUGUGCCAGGCUCGGUCCCGCCAGUGGCGCAUAGGUCACCCAUAUUCUGGCGCCAGCCACCCCUCUUCCUUGUCUCCUCCUUUUCGUCAGCCAGCCCAGAGCUCCGCUGCGCCCUCCCAUCUGGGCUGGGAUUCCCUGUGGAAAAAUCAGGUGGAUUCUCCAGGAGAUGGCUUCAAGCCAGCAGAGGUGGGUAUUGGGGCCCUGGAGCCGGGAAGCUGGGGUUGUCCACCGCCCCCCCUCGCAAGUUGCUGGC